GCGGGCGUGGCGGAAUUGGUAGACGCACCAGAUUUAGGUUCUGGCGCCGCAAGGUGUGGGAGUUCGAGUCUCCCCGCCCGCACCA
Molecule: transfer RNA, 85 nt
Filed under: Tateyamaria omphalii
Lineage: Bacteria; Pseudomonadati; Pseudomonadota; Alphaproteobacteria; Rhodobacterales; Roseobacteraceae
Also listed under: 14 other names
Description: tRNA-Leu
Rfam family: tRNA
About the family: Transfer RNA (tRNA) molecules are approximately 80 nucleotides in length. Their secondary structure includes four short double-helical elements and three loops (D, anti-codon, and T loops).
Source: RNAcentral